This 1401-nucleotide unclassified non-coding RNA is filed under the name Hevea brasiliensis (rubber tree). The record is from RNAcentral. Lineage: Eukaryota; Viridiplantae; Streptophyta; Magnoliopsida; Malpighiales; Euphorbiaceae.
AAAAAAAAAAAAAAAAUUGGAAAUUCUUUGGAAACAUUCAAGGAACUUUGAUGGUUGAUUUACAAAUAAAAAAUUUUAUGAUGGCCUUUAAUUAUAAUUUUAAAAAGUUAAAUGCUUAAAGACAAAUAAAAACAAAGAAAAAAAAUGGAUUUAAAAAAAAAGCUUCAUUCUUUGUUAGAAUUUAAUGAUGGAUUACUGAAAUUAAUGUUUGUGGGGUAACUAACUUUGAAGUAAUAAUAUCAUUAUAAAUUUAGUAAACAUAUUUCAUAGAAUCUUCUCUAGUGUUCCAUAUCCUUAGCAUUUUGUGUCCUACUUUUUAGAAUAUGCUGUAUCCCUGUGUCCUAUCUCAUGUCCCAUUUUGGUUCCGUCUACCUAGGCACAUGCACUCACACACAAAAAGAGGUGUUAUUGCCAUCUCAUUGUUUGGAAGUAAAUAUCUGAUAUUUGCCUAUGGCUAUUUUGCUGCUCAUGAAGAAUUUAUGCCUAGGUGAAUUGUGAAGAGCUCUUUAAUUCAUGACCAACUUUAUCAUUCUCCGCUAAUUUCUUGAUGAAACCUAGUUUGGGACCAGCCCAUUUUGGAUUAAAUUGUAUUGUUUUUCGCAUGCUUUAGGCUUUGAAUUCAUGUCAGUGAUUAAGCUUCAAUAUGUUCUUUCAUUAUCUAACUUUGAUUUUGUUAAUUGUUCAAUAUUUAAAUUCUGUUUAGUCUGCCACAUUGGAUAUCUUUGCAUUAGUGAUUGGAUUGAUAAAAGUCUGGCAACAAAUACUAGAUCAUGACAAUAAAUGGAACCAUAAAAUUGAAACAAAUCGUAGUGAACUAUCUAAUUCAAGCCCUAAGUUGAGAGACUAAUGUUGCAAUAAUCUUGCUCAUUUUCUGUUGCCAGGCUCAGUUGACGUCCGAAAAAAUUUUAUCAGACUAGCAGCACUCAUCAUUGAGCUUACUUGACUUACAUUUUUAUGAUAAUUAUACAUAAGGAUGCAUUCAAUGUCAAAAAUGGCCUAAGGCUUAAAAAUCUUUCUUACGCAUGCACGCCGCACCAAAAAAUUAUGUUUGAAAGCAUAAUUUCUAUUAUUUAAGAAUUACAACCAAAUGUCUCGCACCAUUUUCCCCCUAAAAUUAAGGCUACAAAAUUAAAUUAAUAGCAGAAGCUUUUGUUGAAAACAUUCACAAAUACUCAUAUGAAUAUUGAUGUAAAUACAUUUACAUUGUCAUAGUGAUAAAUUUGAAAUGAAAUAGUGAAAUACUAUCAUAUUGAUUUGUACCAUGCCAAUUAAGAAGGGGAAUAGGUGCAGCAAUGACAUUCAUAUAGUUGGUUCAAAUAAAUGCAUGGAAAUCAUUUCUGUUCAGAAUUUUGAGUUAAUUUCUUAAAUGUGUUAUUCAUGUGGUUUUAUUAAUAUAUAUGG